RNAcentral lists this ribosomal RNA (253 nucleotides) under uncultured bacterium. RNAcentral's name for it is "partial 16S ribosomal RNA". It matches the Rfam family "Bacterial small subunit ribosomal RNA", at positions 524 to 776 of the family's 1533-position model. The record is from RNAcentral.
UACGGGGGGGGCAAGCGUUGUUCGGAAUUACUGGGCGUAAAGGGCUCGUAGGCGGCCAACUAAGUCGGAUGUGAAAUCCCCAGGCUCAACCUGGGAACUGCAUCCGAUACUGGAUGGCUUGAAUUCGGGAGAGGGAUGCAGAAUUCCAGGUGUAGCGGUGAAAUGCGUAGAUAUCUGGAGGAAUACCGGUGGCGAAGGCGGCAUCCUGGACCGACAUUGACGCUGAGGAGCGAAAGCCAGGGGAGCGAAAGGG